AAAGAUACAGACAAAACAAACAUUAGUCCAAGUGGCCAACAACAAGCAUACAUCUAGCACUGAAUCUUUUUUUCGGUGUUUUUUUUUUUUUUUUCUUGCUUUGACAUAUGUGUUUUCUCAUUCGUGGCAU
RNAcentral lists this non-coding RNA (130 nucleotides) under Heterosigma akashiwo. The record is from RNAcentral. Lineage: Eukaryota; Raphidophyceae; Chattonellales; Chattonellaceae.